GACAGAGGGUGCAAACGUUGUUCGGAAUUACUGGGCGUAAAGCGCGUGUAGGCGGCUGCGCAAGUCGGAUGUGAAAUCCCAUGGCUCAACCAUGGAAGUGCACCCGAAACUGCGUAGCUAGAGUCUCGGAGAGGAAGGUGGAAUGCUUGGUGUAGAGGUGAAAUUCGUAGAUAUCAAGCAGAACACCGGUGGCGAAGGCGGCCUUCUGGACGAUGACUGACGCUGAGACGCGAAAGCGUGGGGAGCAAACAGG
RNAcentral lists this ribosomal RNA (253 nucleotides) under uncultured bacterium. RNAcentral's name for it is "partial 16S ribosomal RNA". It matches the Rfam family "Bacterial small subunit ribosomal RNA", at positions 524 to 776 of the family's 1533-position model. The record is from RNAcentral.